GAUGAACGCUGGCGGCGUGCCUAAUACAUGCAAGUCGAGCGAAUGGAUUAAGAGCUUGCUCUUAUGAAGUUAGCGGCGGACGGGUGAGUACACGUGGGUAACCUGCCCAUAAGACUGGGAUAACUCCGGGAAACCGGGGCUAAUACCGGAUAACAUUUUGAACCGCAUGGUUCGAAAUUGAAAGGCGGCUUCGGCUGUCACUUAUGGAUGGACCCGCGUCGCAUUAGCUAGUUGGUGAGGUAACGGGUCACCAAGGCAACGAUGCGUAGCCGACCUGAGAGGGUGAUCGGCCACACUGGGACUGGAACACGGCCCAGACUCCUACGGGAGGCAGCAGUAGGGAAUCGUCCGCAAUGGACGAAAGUCUGACGGAGCAACGCCGCGUGAGUGAUGAAGGCUGUCGGGUCGUAAAACUCUGUUGUUAGGGAAGAACAAGUGCUAGUUGAAUAAGCUGGCACCUUGACGGUACCUAACCAGAAAGCCACGGCUAACUACGUGCCAGCCGCCGCGGUAA
This 514-nucleotide ribosomal RNA is filed under the name uncultured bacterium. Its description in RNAcentral is "partial 16S ribosomal RNA". It matches the Rfam family "Bacterial small subunit ribosomal RNA", at positions 28 to 523 of the family's 1533-position model. The record is from RNAcentral.